Molecule: ribosomal RNA, 497 nt
Filed under: uncultured bacterium
Lineage: Bacteria
Description: partial 16S ribosomal RNA
Rfam family: Bacterial small subunit ribosomal RNA
Source: RNAcentral
GAUGAACGCUGGCGGCGUGCCUAAUACAUGCAAGUCGAGCGAACAGACGAGGAGCUUGCUCCUCUGACGUUAGCGGCGAACGGGGGAGUAACACGUGGAUAACCUACCUAUAAGACUGGGAUAACUUCGUGAAACCGGAGCUAAUACCGGAUAAUAUAUUGAACCGCAUGGUUCAAUAGUGAAAGACGGUUUUGCUGUCACUUAUAGAUGGAUCCGCGCCGCAUUAGCUAGUUGGUAAGGUAACGGCUUACCAAGGCAACGAUGCGUAGCCGACCUGAGAGGGUGAUCGGCCACACUGGAACUGAGACACGGUCCAGACUCCUACGGGAGGCAGCAGUAGGGAAUCUUCCGCAAUGGGCGAAAGCCUGACGGAGCAACGCCGCGUGAGUGAUGAAGGUCUUCUGAUCGUAAAACUCUGUUAUUAGGGAAGAACAAAUGUGUAAGUAACUAUGCACGUCUUGACGGUACCUAAUCAGAAAGCCACGGCUAACUACGUG